Molecule: ribosomal RNA, 503 nt
Filed under: uncultured bacterium
Lineage: Bacteria
Description: partial 16S ribosomal RNA
Rfam family: Bacterial small subunit ribosomal RNA
Source: RNAcentral
AUUGAACGCUGGCGGCAGGCUUAACACAUGCAAGUCGAGCGGGGUGAUGGUGCUUGCACUAUCACUUAGCGGCGGACGGGUGAGUAAUGCUUAGGAAUCUGCCUAUUAGUGGGGGACAACAUCUCGAAAGGGAUGCUAAUACCGCAUACGUCAUACGGGAGAAAGCAGGGGAUCACUUGUGACCUUGCGCUAAUAGAUGAGCCUAAGUCGGAUUAGCCAGUUGGUGGGGUAAAGGCCUACCAAGGCGACGAUCUGUAGCGGGUCUGAGAGGAGGAUCCGCCACACUGGGACUGAGACACGGCCCAGACUCCUACGGGAGGCAGCAGUGGGGAAUAUUGGACAAUGGGGGGAACCCUGAUCCAGCCAUGCCACGUGUGUGAAGAAGGCCUUAUGGUUGUAAAGCACUUUAAGCGAGGAGGAGGCUCUUUUGGUUAAUACCCAAGAUGAGUGGACGUUACUCGCAGAAUAAGCACCGGCUAACUCUGUGCCAGCCGCCGCAGUAA